RNAcentral lists this ribosomal RNA (228 nucleotides) under uncultured bacterium. RNAcentral's name for it is "partial 16S ribosomal RNA". It matches the Rfam family "Bacterial small subunit ribosomal RNA", at positions 568 to 795 of the family's 1533-position model. The record is from RNAcentral.
CGCGUAGGCGGACCAUCAAGUCGGAUGUGAAACCCGGCGGCUUAACUGCCGGCCUGCAUACGAUACUGUUGGUCUUGAGUACAUGAGAGGAAAGCGGAAUUCCAGGUGUAGCGGUGAAAUGCGUAGAUAUCUGGAAGAACACCAGUAGCGAAGGCGGCUUUCUGGCGUGAUACUGACGCUCAAGCGCGAAGGCUAGGGGAGCAAACAGGAUUAGAUACCCUGGUAGUC